Molecule: ribosomal RNA, 729 nt
Filed under: uncultured Alphaproteobacteria bacterium
Lineage: Bacteria; Pseudomonadati; Pseudomonadota; Alphaproteobacteria
Description: bacterial SSU rRNA
Rfam family: Bacterial small subunit ribosomal RNA
Source: RNAcentral
GGUUGAAAAAGUUAGUGGUGAAAUCCCAGAGCUUAACUCUGGAACUGCCAUUAAAACUUUUCAGCUAGAGUAUGAUAGAGGAAAGCAGAAUUUCUAGUGUAGAGGUGAAAUUCGUAGAUAUUAGAAAGAAUACCAAUUGCGAAGGCAGCUUUCUGGAUCAUUACUGACACUGAGGAACGAAAGCAUGGGUAGCGAAGAGGAUUAGAUACCCUCGUAGUCCAUGCCGUAAACGAUGUGUGUUAGACGUUGGAAAUUUAUUUUCAGUGUCGCAGCGAAAGCGAUAAACACACCGCCUGGGGAGUACGACCGCAAGGUUAAAACUCAAAUGAAUUGACGGGGACCCGCACAAGUAGUGGAGCAUGUGGUUUAAUUCGAAGAUACGCGCAGAACCUUACCAACACUUGACAUGUUCGUCGCGACUCUAAGAGAUUAGAGUUUUCGGUUCGGCCGGACGAAACACAGGUGCUGCAUGGCUGUCGUCAGCUCGUGUCGUGAGAUGUUGGGUUAAGUCCCGCAACGAGCGCAACCCUCACUUUUAGUUGCCAUCAUUUAGUUGGGCACUCUGAAAGAACUGCCAGUGAUAAGCUGGAGGAAGGUGGGGAUGACGUCAAGUCCUCAUGGCCCUUACGUGUUGGGCUACACACGUGCUACAAUGGUAUCUACAACAGGAAGCAAGACUGCGAGGUCAAGCAAAUCCUUAAAAGAUACCUCAGUUCGGAUUGCACUCUG